RNAcentral lists this ribosomal RNA (247 nucleotides) under uncultured bacterium. Its description in RNAcentral is "partial 16S ribosomal RNA". It matches the Rfam family "Bacterial small subunit ribosomal RNA", at positions 523 to 769 of the family's 1533-position model. The record is from RNAcentral.
AUACGGAGACUACGAGCGUUACUCGGAUUCACUGGGCGUAAAGGGAGCGCAGGCGGAAUGAUGUGUUAGGUGUGAAAUCCCGGGGCUUAACUCCGGAACUGCGCCUAAAACUGCUUUACUUGAGUCCUGGAUGGGGUAGUGGAAUUCCCAGUGUAGCGGUGAAAUGCGUAGAUAUUGGGAGGAACACCUGCGGCGAAGGCGGCUACCUGGACAGUGACUGACGCUGAGGCGCGAAAGCUAGGGGAGC